RNAcentral lists this ribosomal RNA (445 nucleotides) under uncultured bacterium. RNAcentral's name for it is "partial 16S ribosomal RNA". It matches the Rfam family "Bacterial small subunit ribosomal RNA", at positions 354 to 796 of the family's 1533-position model. The record is from RNAcentral.
GUGAGGAAUAUUGGACAAUGGGCGCAAGCCUGAUCCAGCCAUGCCGCGUGCAGGAAGACGCAUCUAUGGUGUGUAAACUGCUUUUGUACGGGAAGAAACACUCCCUCGUGAGGGAGCUUGACGGUACCGUAAGAAUAAGGAUCGGCUAACUCCGUGCCAGCAGCCGCGGUAAUACGGAGGAUCCAAGCGUUAUCCGGAAUCAUUGGGUUUAAAGGGUCCGUAGGCGGUUUAAUAAGUCAGUGGUGAAAGCCCAUCGCUCAACGAUGGAACGGCCAUUGAUACUGUUAGACUUGAAUUACAAGGAAGUAACUAGAAUAUGUAGUGUAGCGGUGAAAGGCUUAGAUAUUAGGAGGAACACCAGUGGCGAAGGCGGCUUACUGGACUGUAACUGACGUUGAGGCUCGAAAGAGUGGGGAGCAAACAGGAUUAGAAACCCGGGUAGUCC